Molecule: long non-coding RNA, 162 nt
Organism: Perognathus longimembris pacificus (Pacific pocket mouse)
Lineage: Eukaryota; Metazoa; Chordata; Mammalia; Rodentia; Heteromyidae
Exons: 3
Source: RefSeq, a predicted model, not a curated record
GGUAACAAAUUGGUGGUAUGGAAUUUUUCUUCUUGGACAGCAAAACUGCAGAUAAUAGGAUGGAUAAUUAUCAGAAGACAGCUCAGGCCAAGGUUUGAUCAUUCUUUAAUAAUACUUUGUUACCUGCAUUAAGGAUCUGAGACACCGUAAGUGGGAUGGGCU